Molecule: transfer RNA, 91 nt
Filed under: Gemmatimonadaceae bacterium
Lineage: Bacteria; Pseudomonadati; Gemmatimonadota; Gemmatimonadia; Gemmatimonadales; Gemmatimonadaceae
Description: tRNA-Ser
Rfam family: tRNA
About the family: Transfer RNA (tRNA) molecules are approximately 80 nucleotides in length. Their secondary structure includes four short double-helical elements and three loops (D, anti-codon, and T loops).
Source: RNAcentral
GGAGAGAUGGCCGAGUGGCUGAAGGCGACGGUUUGCUAAACCGUUAUAGGGGGUCAAACCCCUAUCCGGGGUUCGAAUCCCCGUCUCUCCG